This is a long non-coding RNA of Oreochromis niloticus (Nile tilapia), 1471 nucleotides long. RefSeq lists it as uncharacterized. The record is from RefSeq and is a predicted model, not a curated record. NCBI's taxonomy places the organism in Eukaryota, Metazoa, Chordata, Actinopteri, Cichliformes, Cichlidae. The transcript is spliced from 3 exons.
GCACAGAGCUCAUUUCCUGUGGUGCUGUCUUCUGUUUUGAAUUCUGAUGGACACAGAGAUGGAUUGGAGAGUGGCCUGAGGCAGGUAGACUCAGGUAGGCCAAGUCCUGCUUCCACAGCAGUGCCAAGAUGAGCCAUACCAGACUCUUUGAGGACAGAGAUGGCAGGAGAAACAAAUGGCACUUGCCUUGUCAUCCCUUUGCUGAGGUAGCAGUGCUGUGAAGAGCAGUGUUUGGUAAAAUAAACACUUGAGAUGUUCCUCAUUGUCUUAGCAAUUACAGCGGAGAUAUUGUACUGAGCAUAGAUUUGGAUCGCACCAGACCUCAACUGGACAGCUUCAAACAUUACAUUAAGCAGCUCUGCUCUCCUCCUGUAGGUUUGUUGGGUCACACCAUCUGUGGCAAUGGCUUUCACCAGCUGCAAGACUGGGUUUUCACUGUCCUUCAGAACAGCAAUUUGAAAUGUGGAGCUGUCACAGAAGGCACAACAUAAGCACUGAAAAAAUGCAUCAAAUGCACAGAUUCAUCUGGAUGGAGCCAUUCGGUACAUGGAGAGAGGUAGGAAGUCCUCUUCCUUUUUUUGGGUGGAACAGCUAGGCCCCUCCAGUUCUCAACUGCAUCUUCAGCCUUGAGAAUGUUUGUGGCAGCAUCAGAUCCCACAAACGGAGUGGCCAAAUUUGGAAGGUGGCUUGGCUCAGGAUCUCCAACAUCCAUCAGAUCUGCUGCCUUCGCUGACCUCCAUACAGCCGGUUCCAUUCUGCCCUCACACAGCUCUUUAGUGAUCUGUUCACGCAGGUUUCCAGACAUGAACCGCUUGGAGUGGCCAGUGUGCAGGGAGAGAUCUGUAUUUCUCAUGAAACACUGGAGCACCAUUGGACUAUUAAUUGCUGGCUGUCUGUCACAUGACAUUUCUAACUGGCCAUGACACUCCUUACAGUCGCCUCUAAUGUCCAGAUAAUUAUUGUUGACAGUUGGAUGGACCUUUGCUCUUCGGAACACAAGUGUACAUGUAUUUUUGAUCUUCUUCCAUAUAAGAUCGUUGAUGAUAUGAGUCCAAGUGCCAGGCUUCAAAAUUGUGUAUUCCCUUUUUUGGGUAGGAGGAAACUUGUCAUUGUAUUCAACCUUUUCAGGAAUAAAUUUAACCCAGUCCUCAAAAGGGACUUCUAGUUCAAAAGCUUGACAGUUUUCUUGUCCAGGAGAAAUGCAAUGUGAAUCUAACUCUCCUUCACUAUUACUUUCCUGAUCACUGAUUUCCAAAGCUGACCAGAUGUUGUGUCUAUUUAGCUUCACAAAAGUGUACAGGGCCUUUGCUGACAUCUUGUCUUCUAGCUGCUGACUCAACUCUUUCCAGACUGGUGCAGCUGGAGUGGCUAUUUUGCCAUUUUGGACUAUGGCCUCUUUUGAAUUGCAAAGAAUUGCAAAAAUGGAAACCUUGUCUACAGAUGGCUUUCGAGGCAUCUAAAUAAAAAAAAA